GACGAACGCUGGCGGCGCGCUUAACACAUGCAAGUCGAACGGAAAGGCCUGCUUUCCCUUGUGGAUUGCGGGUACUCGAGUGGCGAACGGGUGAGUAACACGUGAGUGGUCUGCCCCCAACUUGGGUAUAAGCCUGGGAAACUGGGUCUAAUUCCCGAUAGGACUGCAGGGUGGUGCCUGUGGUGGAAAACGAUUUUCUAGUGGUUGGGGAUGAGCUCGCGGCCUAUCAGCUUGUUGGUGGGGUAAUGGCCUACCAAGGCGGCGACGGGUAGCCGGCCUGGGAUGGUGGACGGCCACAUUGGGACUGAGAUACGGCCCAGACUCCUACGGGAGGCAGCAGUGGGGAAUAUUGCACAAUGGGCGGAAGCCUGAUGCAGCGACGCCGCGUGGGGGAUGACGGCCUUCGGGUUGUAAACUCCUUUCGACCGCGAGGAAGCCACCUGGUUGGAAGGGUGGUGACGGUAGUGGUAGAAGUAGCACCGGCUAACUACGUG
This 494-nucleotide ribosomal RNA is filed under the name uncultured bacterium. RNAcentral describes it as "partial 16S ribosomal RNA". It matches the Rfam family "Bacterial small subunit ribosomal RNA", at positions 28 to 507 of the family's 1533-position model. The record is from RNAcentral.